This 115-nucleotide ribosomal RNA is filed under the name Ligilactobacillus agilis. Lineage: Bacteria; Bacillati; Bacillota; Bacilli; Lactobacillales; Lactobacillaceae. The record is from RNAcentral.
CCUGGGAGGACGAGCCUAGGCUACACCUGUUCCCAUUCCGAACACAGAAGUUAAGCUUCAUAGCGCCGAGAGUAGUUGGAGGAACGCCUCCUGUGAGGGUAGGACGUUGCCGUGC